GAUGAACGCUAGCGGCAGGCUUAAUACAUGCAAGUUGAGGGGCAGCAUGAUAUACGCGAGUAUAUUGAUGGCGACCGGCGGACGGGUGAGUAAUAGGUAGGAGACCUACCUCAUACAGGGGGAUAGCAUAGAGAAAUCUGUGGUAAUACCCCAUGAGGUUAUAUGAAUAGAGGCAUAUAAUCAAAGCAUAAGCGAUUAUGCGGUAUGAGAGGGGCCUACUGACCAUUAGCUAGUUGGUGAGGUAAGGGCUCACCAAGGCGAAGAUGGUUAGGGGUUUUGAGAGAGAGACCCCCCACAUUGGAACUGAGAGACGGUCCAGACUCCUACGGGAGGCAGCAGUAGGGAAUAUUGGGCAAUGGGCGAAAGCCUGACCCAGCCAUGCCGCGUGAAGGAAGACGGCCUUAUGGGUUGUAAACUUCUUUACUACGCGAAUAGAGGUUAGUACGAGAUACUAAUAGGAAGGUAGUGUAGUAAAAGCAACCGGCUAACUCCGUGCC
Molecule: ribosomal RNA, 497 nt
Filed under: uncultured bacterium
Lineage: Bacteria
Description: bacterial SSU rRNA
Rfam family: Bacterial small subunit ribosomal RNA
Source: RNAcentral